UGCAAGUCGAGGGGUAGUUGUCUUCGGAUAAUGAGACCGGCGCACGGGUGCGUAACUCGUAUACAAUCUACCUUUUACAGAGGGAUAGCCCAGAGAAAUUUGGAUUAAUACCUCAUAGUAUUUUUGAAUGGCAUCAUUUGAUUAUUAAAGUUCCAACGGUAAAAGAUGAGUAUGCGUCCCAUUAGCUAGAUGGUAAGGUAACGGCUUACCAUGGCAACGAUGGGUAGGGGUCCUGAGAGGGAGAUCCCCCACACUGGUACUGAGACACGGACCAGACUCCUACGGGAGGCAGCAGUGAGGAAUAUUGGACAAUGGGCGCAAGCCUGAUCCAGCCAUGCCGCGUGCAGGAAGAAGGUCCUAUGGAUUGUAAACUGCUUUUAUACAGGAAGAAACACACCCUCGUGAGGGUACUUGACGGUACUGUAUGAAUAAGGACCGGCUAACUCCGUGCCAGCAGCCGCGGUAAUACGGAGGGUCCAAGCGUUAUCCGGAAUCAUUGGGUUUAAAGGGUCCGUAGGCGGUUUAAUAAGUCAGUGGUGAAAGCCCAUCGCUCAACGAUGGAACGGCCAUUGAUACUGUUAAACUUGAAUUAUUAGGAAGUAACUAGAAUAUGUAGUGUAGCGGUGAAAUGCUUAGAGAUUACAUGGAAUACCAAUUGCGAAGGCAGGUUACUACUAAUAUAUUGACGCUGAUGGACGAAAGCGUGGGGAGCGAACAGGAUUAGAUACCCUGGUAGUCCACGCCGUAAACGAUGGAUACUAGCUGUUCGGAGCAAUCUGGGUGGCUAAGCGAAAGUGAUAAGUAUCCCACCUGGGGAGUACGUUCGCAAGAAUGAAACUCAAAGGAAUUGACGGGGGCCCGCACAAGCGGUGGAGCAUGUGGU
Molecule: ribosomal RNA, 883 nt
Filed under: uncultured bacterium
Lineage: Bacteria
Description: bacterial SSU rRNA
Rfam family: Bacterial small subunit ribosomal RNA
Source: RNAcentral